UUCUCCUCAGGUCAGUGAUCGUCUCACCUAUCUGGAGCAGCGAGUGCAGAUGCAGGAGGACGAGAUCCAGCUGCUGAAGAUGGCCAUCGCAGACGUGCUGAAGAGACUCAACAUCUCAGAGGAGCACACACACGGCAGAGCUGCAGACUCAGCAGUGCGUCCAGUGUCUCUCUCUCUGACCCCGAGAGCAUCAGUAUCGUCUCUGAGGAAGAGCUCCAGCUCCACACUGCCCUCCUCAGCCUCAUCCAGGAACUACAGCCCGUCCACAACAGCAGCAAAGAGAACUGCUGCUGGAUCCUCCAGAGAGCCCCCGAACAGUAAAGCUAAGAGCAGCAGCAGCAGGAAACCACCGGAGAG
This is a long non-coding RNA of Danio aesculapii, 357 nucleotides long. RefSeq lists it as uncharacterized. The transcript is spliced from 3 exons. NCBI's taxonomy places the organism in Eukaryota, Metazoa, Chordata, Actinopteri, Cypriniformes, Danionidae. The record is from RefSeq and is a predicted model, not a curated record.